AGAACGAACGCUGGCGGCAUGCCUAAUACAUGCAAGUCGAACGAACACUUCGGUGUUAGUGGCGCACGGGUGCGUAACGCGUGGGAAUCUGCCCUUGGGUUCGGAAUAACAGUUGGAAACGACUGCUAAUACCGGAUGAUAUCGAAGAUCAAAGAUUUAUCGCCCAGGGAUGAGCCCGCGUAGGAUUAGCUAGUUGGUAGAGGUAAAGGCUCACCAAGGCAACGAUCCGUUAGCUGGUCUAGAGAGGAUGAUCAGCCACACGUAGGGACUAGACGACACCGGCCCAGUACCGUACCGUACGGGAGCAG
RNAcentral lists this ribosomal RNA (308 nucleotides) under uncultured soil bacterium. Its description in RNAcentral is "bacterial SSU rRNA". It matches the Rfam family "Bacterial small subunit ribosomal RNA", at positions 26 to 354 of the family's 1533-position model. The record is from RNAcentral.